RNAcentral lists this ribosomal RNA (443 nucleotides) under uncultured bacterium. RNAcentral's name for it is "partial 16S ribosomal RNA". It matches the Rfam family "Bacterial small subunit ribosomal RNA", at positions 338 to 795 of the family's 1533-position model. The record is from RNAcentral.
CCUACGGGAGGCAGCAGUGGGGAAUAUUGGGCAAUGGGCGCAAGCCUGACCCAGCAACACCGCGUGAAGGAAGAAGGCUUUCGGGUUGUAAACUUCUUUUCUGAGGGACGAAGAAAGUGACGGUACCUCAGGAAUAACCCACGGCUAACUACGUCCCAGCAGCCGCGGUAAUACGUAGGUGGCAAGCGUUAUCCGGAUUUAUUGGGUGUAAAGGGCGUGUAGGCGGGUAAGCAAGUCAGAUGUGAAAACUAAGGGCUCAACCCUGAGACUGCAUUUGAAGCUGUUGUUCUUGAGUGCUGGAGAGGCAAUCGGAAUUCCGUGUGUAGCGGUGAAAUGCGUAGAUAUAAGGAGGAACACCAGUGGCGAAGGCGGAUUGCUGGACAGUAACUGACGCUGAGGCGCGAAAGCGUGGGGAGCAAACAGGAUUAGAUACCCGUGUAGUC